This 1050-nucleotide ribosomal RNA is filed under the name Biston falcata. RNAcentral's name for it is "partial 16S ribosomal RNA". Lineage: Eukaryota; Metazoa; Arthropoda; Insecta; Lepidoptera; Geometridae. The record is from RNAcentral.
AUUAAUAAUUAAUAUAUUUAAUAAAAAUAAUUUUAAUUUAAUAAAUAUUUUAAUGGGGGUUAAAGUAUUUUUUAAAGAAAAAAUUUUUAAAUUUAUAGUUAAUUAGUAUUGUGAAAGAAUUUUGAAAUAUUAUGAAAAAUAAAAUUUUUAUAAAGUAAUUUUUAUUUAUUGUAUCUUGUGUAUCAGAGUUUAUUAAAAAUUUUUAAUUUAUAAAUUAAUUUCUCGAAUUUAAAAGAGUUAAAUAAUUAUUAAAGUUAUUGUAGCAAAAUUAUUUUAAAUAAUUAUUUAGAAAUGAAAUGUUAAUCGUUUUUAAAUAUAUCUAGUUUUUAUAGAAAAAAAUUUAAUUUUAAAUUUAAAAAUUAUUUAAUUAAUUUAUUAAUUAAAUAAUUAUUUAAAUUUUAUAAUUUAAGGGAUAAGCUUUAAAUUAAAUUUUUAUAAUAUUAAAUUUUUAUUUUGAAAAUUUUAUAAUUUAUAUUGUUAAUAAAUUUUAUUUUGUUAUAAAUAAUUUCAUUUUUUUUAAAAUUUAAAUUUUAUUUAAUUUUUUAUAUAAAAUUUAUUUAUAAUUAUAUAAAGUUAAUUAUAAUGAUAAAAUUAGUAUAUUACUUAAUAUUAAAUUAAAAUUAAUUUUUGAUUAAUAAUUAAAUUAAUUAAAAGGAAUUCGGCAAAUAUUUAUUUUCACUUGUUUAUCAAAAACAUGUCUUUUUGUUAUUUAAUUUAAAGUCUAAUCUGCCCACUGAUUUAUAAAAAUUGAAGGGCUGCAGUAUAUUGACUGUACAAAGGUAGCAUAAUCAUUAGUCUCUUAAUUGGUGACUUGUAUGAAAGAUUGGAUGAAAAAUAUACUGUCUCUUAAUUAAUAUAUAGAAUUUAAUUUUUUAUUUAAAAAGUUAAAAUAAUUUAAAAAGACGAGAAGACCCUAUAGAGUUUAAUAAAUUAUUUUAUGAAAGUUUUAUUUAUAUUUACUAAUAAUUUUAUAAAUUUAUUUAUUUUGUUGGGGUGAUAAAAAAAUAAAUUUAACUUUUUUUAAGUAAUUUACAUGAAUAAGUGAUUAAU